UACAGGGGCCCCAAGCGUUAAUCGGAAUUACUGGGCUUAAAGGGUGCGUAGGCGGCUCCGUAAGUGCCUUGUGAAAGCCCUCGGCUCAACCGAGGAACAGCAGGGCAUACUGCGGAGCUUGAGGAAGGUAGAGGCCGUUGGAACGCUCGGUGGAGCGGUGGAAUGCGUAGAUAUGAUGUAGAACACCGAUUGCGAAGGCAGCUCACUAAGUUGUAACUGACACUGAGGCACGAAAGCGUGGGUAGCGAACAGG
Molecule: ribosomal RNA, 253 nt
Filed under: uncultured bacterium
Lineage: Bacteria
Description: partial 16S ribosomal RNA
Rfam family: Bacterial small subunit ribosomal RNA
Source: RNAcentral